AGACGCAGCAGUGCCAGGGACAAGGAGGAGUCGACCUGGGGGUAGCACAGCCCACCGGGGCACAGCUGGAGCAGCACCCAGGUGCUUCUGACUCCGGCAUGGAGGAAGCGCCCGCUUUCUCGGCCCAGGCCCGCAGCCAGGGCUGCUCCGCCCGCUGCGCCCCAGGGCAAAAGCCCCGCAAGGCAGUGUGAGCUGGAGCCGCCAGCCUGAGGACCUCUUUUAAGAUGACCCGUACGGACGCUCCGGACCUGCUGGUGUCGACCGUGUACCAGGACAUCAAGGUGGCGACCCCGGGACCCGCUUCCAAGCGCUCGCCAUGUGAGCGAUCCGUGGCCCGGCCUGCUGAGCCCGCGCCUUUCAACAAGCGCCACUGCCCCAGCUUCGACUUCCUGGAGGCGCUGGACCGGCCGACCACGGAGACCCUGCCGGAGCCACCGCCCCCGGAGCCCGCUGUGCCGCGCGCCCGGACCCGCGAGGCCGAGCCACGCCGCCGCGCCCGCUCCAAGAGCGCGCCCCCGGGCCUGACGCCCGCGCCCGCCUUGCCGCCCGUGUUGCCCCGC
Molecule: long non-coding RNA, 560 nt
Filed under: Homo sapiens (human)
Lineage: Eukaryota; Metazoa; Chordata; Mammalia; Primates; Hominidae
Description: HSALNT0305869
Source: RNAcentral